UACAGAGGGUGCGAGCGUUAAUCGGAAUUACUGGGCGUAAAGGGUGCGUAGGUGGUUUGAUUAGUUAGGUGUGAAAGUCCUGGGCUUAACCUGGGGACUGCGCCUAAUACUGUCAAGCUAGAGUACUGUAGAGGAAGGUAGAAUUUCCAGUGUAGCGGUGAAAUGCGUAGAUAUUGGAAGGAAUACCUGUGGCGAAGGCGACCUUCUGGACAGAUACUGACACUGAGGCACGAAAGCGUGGGGAGCAAAC
Molecule: ribosomal RNA, 250 nt
Filed under: uncultured bacterium
Lineage: Bacteria
Description: partial 16S ribosomal RNA
Rfam family: Bacterial small subunit ribosomal RNA
Source: RNAcentral